GAAAAAUUUGGCGGCCAAGCACUUGAUCUAUCAGCAUCAGCAUGGUAAGCAAAUGUCCUGCCCUGCAAUGGGUCAGCUACUAUCAAACACCCUCUACUACAAGCGCUUCUUCCCAUACUAUGCCUUCAAUGUGUUGGGUGGCCUCGACAACGAAGGGAAAGGUUGUGUUUUCACAUAUGAUGCUGUUGGUUCGUACGAAAGGGUUGGGUACAGCGCCCAAGGCACAGGGUCGACGCUUAUCAUGCCUGUCUUGGAUAAUCAGUUGAAAUCUCCUAGUCCUCUGUUAUUGCCUGCAAGGGAUGCUAUCACACCGCUGUCGGAGUCUGAAGCAGUGGAUAUGGUAAAGGAUGUAUUUGCAUCUGCAACUGAAAGGGACAUAUACACUGGGGAUACCCUAGAAAUCAU
RNAcentral lists this unclassified non-coding RNA (405 nucleotides) under Hevea brasiliensis (rubber tree). Lineage: Eukaryota; Viridiplantae; Streptophyta; Magnoliopsida; Malpighiales; Euphorbiaceae. The record is from RNAcentral.